RNAcentral lists this ribosomal RNA (253 nucleotides) under uncultured bacterium. Its description in RNAcentral is "partial 16S ribosomal RNA". It matches the Rfam family "Bacterial small subunit ribosomal RNA", at positions 524 to 776 of the family's 1533-position model. The record is from RNAcentral.
UACAGAGGGUGCGAGCGUUAAUCGGAAUUACUGGGCGUAAAGCGUGCGUAGACGGUUGCGUAAGUCGGAUGUGAAAUCCCCGGGCUCAACCUGGGAAUUGCAUUCGAGACUGCGUAGCUGGGGUGCGGAAGAGGGAAGCGGAAUUUCCGGUGUAGCGGUGAAAUGCGUAGAUAUCGGAAGGAACACCAGUGGCGAAAGCGGCUUCCUGGUCCGACACCGACGUUCAGGCACGAAAGCGUGGGGAGCAAACAGG